GAUGAAGAACGCAGCGAAAUGCGAUACGUAAUGUGAAUUGCAAAUUCAGUGAAUCAUCGAGUCUUUGAACGCACAUUGCGCCCCCUGGUAUUCCGGGGGGCAUGUCUGUCCGAGCGUCAUUGCUGCCCUCAAGCACGGCUUGUGUGUUGGGCCCCGUCCUCCGAUCCCGGGGGACGGGCCCGAAAGGCAGCGGCGGCACCGCGUCCGGUCCUCGAGCAUAUGGGGCUUUGUCACCCGCUCUGUAGGCCCGGCCGGCGCUUGCCGAUCAACCCAAAUUUUUUAUCCAGGUUGACCUCGGAUCAGGUAGGGAUACCCGCUGAACUUAAGCAUAUCAAUAAGCGGAGGA
This 346-nucleotide unclassified non-coding RNA is filed under the name soil metagenome. Its description in RNAcentral is "partial contains 5.8S ribosomal RNA, internal transcribed spacer 2, and large subunit ribosomal RNA". The stretch from base 1 to 119 matches the Rfam family "5.8S ribosomal RNA", at positions 35 to 154 of the family's 154-position model. The record is from RNAcentral.